This 253-nucleotide ribosomal RNA is filed under the name uncultured bacterium. RNAcentral's name for it is "partial 16S ribosomal RNA". It matches the Rfam family "Bacterial small subunit ribosomal RNA", at positions 524 to 776 of the family's 1533-position model. The record is from RNAcentral.
UACAGAGGGUGCGAGCGUUAAUCGGAAUUACUGGGCGUAAAGCGUGCGUAGACGGUCAUGUAAGUCGGAUGUGAAAUCCCCGGGCUCAACCUGGGAACUGCAUUUGUGACUGCAUCGCUGGAGUGCGGCAGAGGGGGAUGGAAUUCCGCGUGUAGCAGUGAAAUGCGUAGAUAUGCGGAGGAACACCGAUGGCGAAGGCAAUCCCCUGGGCCUGCACUGACGCUCAUGCACGAAAGCGUGGGGAGCAAACAGG